This 591-nucleotide ribosomal RNA is filed under the name Comamonadaceae bacterium. RNAcentral's name for it is "bacterial SSU rRNA". It matches the Rfam family "Bacterial small subunit ribosomal RNA", at positions 319 to 903 of the family's 1533-position model. Lineage: Bacteria; Pseudomonadati; Pseudomonadota; Betaproteobacteria; Burkholderiales; Comamonadaceae. The record is from RNAcentral.
CUGAGACACGGCCCAGACUCCUACGGGAGGCAGCAGUGGGGAAUUUUGGACAAUGGGCGCAAGCCUGAUCCAGCAAUGCCGCGUGCAGGAAGAAGGCCUUCGGGUUGUAAACUGCUUUUGUACGGAACGAAAAGGCUCUGGCUAAUACCUGGAGCUCAUGACGGUACCGUAAGAAUAAGCACCGGCUAACUACGUGCCAGCAGCCGCGGUAAUACGUAGGGUGCGAGCGUUAAUCGGAAUUACUGGGCGUAAAGCGUGCGCAGGCGGUGCUGUAAGACAGGCGUGAAAUCCCCGGGCUCAACCUGGGAAUUGCGCUUGUGACUGCAGCGCUGGAGUGCGGCAGAGGGGGAUGGAAUUCCGCGUGUAGCAGUGAAAUGCGUAGAUAUGCGGAGGAACACCGAUGGCGAAGGCAAUCCCCUGGGCCUGCACUGACGCUCAUGCACGAAAGCGUGGGGAGCAAACAGGAUUAGAUACCCUGGUAGUCCACGCCCUANACGAUGUCAACUGGUUGUUGGGAAUUUACUUUCUCAGUAACGAAGCUAACGCGUGAAGUUGACCGCCUGGGGAGUACGGCCGCAAGGUUGAAACUCA